RNAcentral lists this ribosomal RNA (790 nucleotides) under uncultured archaeon. Its description in RNAcentral is "bacterial SSU rRNA". It matches the Rfam family "Archaeal small subunit ribosomal RNA", at positions 85 to 876 of the family's 1478-position model. The record is from RNAcentral.
ACGGCUCAGUAACACGUAGACAACUUACCCAAGAGUCCGGGAUAACCCCGGGAAACUGGGGAUAAUACCGGAUAGAUCAUCUGUGCUGGAAGGCUGGGUGGUUGAAACUUCCGGGGCUUUUGGAUGGGUCUGCGGCUGAUUAGGUUGUUGCCGGUGUAACGUACCGUCAAGCCUGUAAUCAGUACGGGUUGUGGGAGCAAGAGCCCGGAGAUGGAUUCUGAGACACGAAUCCAGGCCCUACGGGGCGCAGCAGGCGCGAAAACUCUACAAUGCAGGCAACUGCGAUAGGGGAACAUCGAGUGAUCCUCAUAUUGGGGGUCUGUCCACCCGUCUAAAAAACGGGUGUUAGCAAGGGCCGGGCAAGACCGGUGCCAGCCGCCGCGGUAAUACCGGCGGCUCGAGUGGUGGCCGAUAUUAUUGAGUCUAAAGGGUCCGUAGCCGGCUUUGCAAGUCUCUCGGGAAAUCCAGCGGCUUAACCGUUGGUCGUCCGGGGGGUACUACAUUGCUUGGGACUGGGAGAGGUAGGAGGUACUCAGGGGGUAGGAGUGAAGUCCGUUGAUCCAUUGAAGACCACCAGUGGCGAAGGCGGCUUGCCAGAACGCGCUCGACGGUGAGGGAUGAAAGCUGGGGGAGCAAACCGGAUUAGAUACCCGGGUAGUCCCAGCUGUAAACGAUGCAGACUCGGUGAUGAACAGGCUUCGUGCCUGUUCAGUGCCGCAGGGAAGCCGUUAAGUCUGCCGCCUGGGGAGUACGGUCGCAAGACUGAAACUUAAAGGAAUUGGCGGGGGAG